RNAcentral lists this ribosomal RNA (495 nucleotides) under uncultured bacterium. Its description in RNAcentral is "partial 16S ribosomal RNA". It matches the Rfam family "Bacterial small subunit ribosomal RNA", at positions 28 to 507 of the family's 1533-position model. The record is from RNAcentral.
GACGAACGCUGGCGGCGUGCCUAAUACAUGCAAGUAGAACGCUGAAGGAGGAGCUUGCUUCUCUGGAUGAGUUGCGAACGGGUGAGUAACGCGUAGGUAACCUGCCUGGUAGCGGGGGAUAACUAUUGGAAACGAUAGCUAAUACCGCAUAAGAGUAGAUGUUGCAUGACAUUUGCUUAAAAGGUGCAAUUGCAUCACUACCAGAUGGACCUGCGUUGUAUUAGCUAGUUGGUGGGGUAACGGCUCACCAAGGCGACGAUACAUAGCCGACCUGAGAGGGUGAUCGGCCACACUGGGACUGAGACACGGCCCAGACUCCUACGGGGGGCAGCAGUAGGGAAUCUUCGGCAAUGGACGGAAGUCUGACCGAGCAACGCCGCGUGAGUGAAGAAGGUUUUCGGAUCGUAAAGCUCUGUUGUAAGAGAAGAACGAGUGUGAGAGUGGAAAGUUCACACUGUGACGGUAUCUUACCAGAAAGGGACGGCUAACUACGUG